RNAcentral lists this ribosomal RNA (585 nucleotides) under Hanseniaspora uvarum. RNAcentral describes it as "eukaryotic LSU rRNA". It matches the Rfam family "Eukaryotic large subunit ribosomal RNA", at positions 46 to 647 of the family's 3401-position model. Lineage: Eukaryota; Fungi; Ascomycota; Saccharomycetes; Saccharomycodales; Saccharomycodaceae. The record is from RNAcentral.
AAAAGCGGAGGAAAAGAAACCAACUGGGAUUACCUUAGUAACGGCGAGUGAAGCGGUAAAAGCUCAAAUUUGAAAUCUGGUACUUUCAGUGCCCGAGUUGUAAUUUGUAGAAUUUGUCUUUGAUUAGGUCCUUGUCUAUGUUCCUUGGAACAGGACGUCAUAGAGGGUGAGAAUCCCGUUUGGCGAGGAUACCUUUUCUCUGUAAGACUUUUUCGAAGAGUCGAGUUGUUUGGGAAUGCAGCUCAAAGUGGGUGGUAAAUUCCAUCUAAAGCUAAAUAUUGGCGAGAGACCGAUAGCGAACAAGUACAGUGAUGGAAAGAUGAAAAGAACUUUGAAAAGAGAGUGAAAAAGUACGUGAAAUUGUUGAAAGGGAAGGGCAUUUGAUCAGACAUGGUGUUUUUUGCAUGCACUCGCCUCUCGUGGGCUUGGGCCUCUCAAAAAUUUCACUGGGCCAACAUCAAUUCUGGCAGCAGGAUAAAUCAUUAAGAAUGUAGCUACUUCGGUAGUGUUAUAGCUUUUUGGAAUACUGUUAGCCGGGAUUGAGGACUGCGCUUCGGCAAGGAUGUUGCAUAAUGUACCAGGCUA